Cinara cedri is the source of this 207-nucleotide non-coding RNA. The record is from the annotation of a GenBank genome assembly. Lineage: Eukaryota; Metazoa; Arthropoda; Insecta; Hemiptera; Aphididae.
UAUUGAGAGAAAAGUAGCGGAGUAUCAUUUGUGUAGCGGCAUAGUAUGUAGAGAUUGAAUAGUACUUUAUUAAUCUUCCCAGCCUAAACAUAAAAAUGGAAUAUCUCAUAAAUGGGUUGAUGGAAAACAAAAAUGUCAACAUCAAAAUUAAUUUAAACUAAUAUUCUAUCAAUUUAUGGAACUUUUAAUUUAAGGUAACCAUUUUAA